GAUGAACGCUGGCGGCGUGCCUAAUACAUGCCAGUCGAGCGAACAGACGAGGAGCUUGCUCCUCUGACGUUAGCGGCGGACGGGUGAGUAACACGUGGAUAACCUACCUAUAAGACUGGGAUAACUUCGGGAAACCGGAGCUAAUGCCGGAUAAUAUAUUGAACCGCAUGGUUCAAUAGUGAAAGACGGUUUUGCUGUCACUUAUAGAUGGAUCCGCGCCGCAUUAGCUAGUUGGUAAGGUAACGGCUUACCAAGGCAACGAUGCGUAGCCGACCUGAGAGGGUGAUCGGCCACACUGGAACUGAGACACGGUCCAGACUCCUACGGGAGGCAGCAGUAGGGAAUCUUCCGCAAUGGGCGAAAGCUUGACGGAGCAACGCCGCGUGAGUGAUGAAGGUCUUCGGAUCGUAAAACUCUGUUAUUAGGGAAGAACAAAUGUGUAAGUAACUAUGCACGUCUUGACGGUACCUAAUCAGAAAGCCACGGCUAACUACGUG
RNAcentral lists this ribosomal RNA (497 nucleotides) under uncultured bacterium. RNAcentral describes it as "partial 16S ribosomal RNA". It matches the Rfam family "Bacterial small subunit ribosomal RNA", at positions 28 to 507 of the family's 1533-position model. The record is from RNAcentral.